Molecule: ribosomal RNA, 425 nt
Filed under: uncultured bacterium
Lineage: Bacteria
Description: partial 16S ribosomal RNA
Rfam family: Bacterial small subunit ribosomal RNA
Source: RNAcentral
GUGGGGAAUAUUGGACAAUGGGCGAAAGCCUGAUCCAGCCAUGCCGCGUGAGUGAUGAAGGCCUUAGGGUUGUAAAGCUCUUUCAGUAGGGAAGAUAAUGACGGUACCUACAGAAGAAGCCCCGGCUAACUUCGUGCCAGCAGCCGCGGUAAUACGAAGGGGGCUAGCGUUGUUCGGAUUUACUGGGCGUAAAGCGCACGUAGGCGGAUUGGUCAGUUAGAGGUGAAAUCCUGGAGCUCAACUCCAGAACUGCCUUUAAUACUGCCAGUCUAGAGUCCAGAAGAGGUGAGUGGAACUCCUAGUGUAGAGGUGGAAUUCGUAGAUAGUAGGAAGAACACCAGUGGCGAAGGCGGCUCACUGGUCUGGUACUGACGCUGAGGUGCGAAAGCGUGGGGAGCAAACAGGAUUAGAAACCCGGGUAGUCC